CGGGCGGCAGGACAGGCGGGAGCGCACCCGCGGCCAGACCGAACCCGCGGCCCCCGCCGGGAGCAGAGCGAGCGAGCCGGCGAGCGAGCGGAGCCCGGGUGCGAGUUGGAAGUUUCUGGGGGGCGCCCACGCCUCUCCAGGGCCGCCUUUUCAAAUUCGGCGAGGCACCUGUGGAUAUACCCAGCCUUACUGAGCUGUCACUCUUCUACGUAAGAUUUUCAGCUGCCACCCCCCACCCCCAAGAUGGGGCCGCGGGAGCCAAGAAGAACGGAGAAGGGUUCAAUAGCAAUACGCUCUAAACUCCCCCCAGAGAACACCAAAAGAGACAGAGCAUGAGCAGGGGAAGGGCAGAGAGAAGGGAGACACAGAAUCCGAAGCAGGCUCCAGGCUCCGAGCUGUCGGCACAGAGCCCGACGCGGGGCUGGAACUCACCAACCGCGAGAUCAUGACCUGAGCCGAAGUCGGACCCUUAACCGACUGAGCCACCCAGGUGCCCUGAAACAAAACUUUAUUGUAAAACAAAUAUGAGACUAUUAUUGUGAAG
Long non-coding RNA from Panthera uncia (snow leopard), 544 nucleotides. RefSeq lists it as uncharacterized. The transcript has 3 exons. The record is from RefSeq and is a predicted model, not a curated record. Lineage: Eukaryota; Metazoa; Chordata; Mammalia; Carnivora; Felidae.